UUCAACUUUUAAACUUGUCUAUGAUUAAAGCAGUGUUUGGCUUUGCCCAAUGUCUGUGGUCCAUCAAAAUCAUCAGUUUGAGUGUUGGAGAAGCGAUCACCAAUCUACAUUUUCAUUCUUUUGAUGGUGGUGGAUGUUGGUUCGAUCAAUACAAAAUAAAAUUCAAUGGGUUACUUCCUUUUGACUUUUGAGAGAAAGAUAUGGACUUGAACUCUUCUCUGCAUGCCAGCAUUGUUGAAAUUAAGAAAGAUUAAUUUAGCAGUUGAAGGAGCAAGACACACAGUGUGGCAUUGAAUCGAGCUUGGGGGAGGCCCUUUAUCCAGGUUUAGGAUGCAAGCCAAGGGAGAGAGAUGCUUUAUGGAGAAAGUAUGGUAAUUAUUUCAAUGAGACUUGAUGUUAUGAAGAACAUCUUACAUGGAAAUGGCUAAUUGAUAAAAUUAAAGGUCCAUUUUAUAUUUACAGAAUUAUAGGGGCGACUGAUCUGGCACUGAACUUCUCCACUUUUGGCAGGAAUUGGUAGUCUGAGUUACUGUUGGCCUUUUCAUCUUGUUGGGGAUUUGUGUUCAGAAUGAACAAGCGGGAGUCGUGAGAUUCUAGCAUGACAAUAGACUACACUGAUUUUCGGUAUAUUAAAAACAUUAAGAAUGUUGAUAACAGACUAGUACAAUAUAAGGCAUUUGCAUCUGGCAAAUUUACGUGAGAGUUUUUGAAGAGGUUGAUGAAGUUCACAUUGUGAAAUUGUAUAUGGUACUUACUAAUUCAUAAUCUUAUUUUGAUGCUGAUCUCAUGUUAAAUAAUGUGAAUGCUUUUUGUUACAGAUUCGGCAUCUACUAUAUUUCAUGUUGAUAUAUGUGCCGUUUCAAAACUUCAGGCCCCUGUGAUAUAUAUUCAGUUUAGAGUUUUAGCAGAGUUGCAUUUGUAGCCAGUGGCAGUUCUCAGAGAGGCCGUGCAGAAAUGUGGUGGAAGGAUGACAAAUCCUGGGUCCAUUAUGCUUAAAUUAAAAUGUGGUCGAUUUAUUUACAUUUGAUCAGCUCCUUCCUAUUGCUUUAGAUGCUGCUGCUGAAGAUGUCACUGAAUUAGUAAAUUUCAGCAAUUAAAGGGGACACUGAAGACAUAUUGGUCGGAAAGGUAUUUGCCAGUUCUAUAUGCCCCCAUCCUUGCUUCUUAGCUAAUUACGCGUAUAGGAGGUCAACUGAUCCACUUGAACUAUAAUGGAGAAAGCACAUUCACAUUAGCCAAAAAAAGGAACAUUUUAUAGAGGUUCUAGUUUUGUGUCAUUAAACAACUUUUCAGUAGUGUUUUGUUCCUAAAACUCAGUAUGUUUUUUUUU
Daucus carota subsp. sativus is the source of this 1330-nucleotide long non-coding RNA. RefSeq lists it as uncharacterized. The record is from RefSeq and is a predicted model, not a curated record. Lineage: Eukaryota; Viridiplantae; Streptophyta; Magnoliopsida; Apiales; Apiaceae. The transcript has 4 exons.